RNAcentral lists this ribosomal RNA (2916 nucleotides) under Triticum aestivum (bread wheat). RNAcentral's name for it is "partial small subunit ribosomal RNA". Lineage: Eukaryota; Viridiplantae; Streptophyta; Magnoliopsida; Poales; Poaceae. The record is from RNAcentral.
AUGGCGACCGCCUCGCCGCCGCUCGCCACCGCCUUCCGCCCGCUCGCCGCCGCCGGCGGCGCCGGAGGAGGAGGAGCGCACGCCGUGGGCGCCGCGGGCCGGGUCGCGCCGAGGCGGGGGCGCCGGGGCUUCGUGGUGCGGAGCGUGGCGAGCGAUCGGGAGGUGCGGGGGCCCGCCUCGACCGAGGAAGAGCUUUCAGCCGUGCUAACUUCCAUUGAUUCUUCCGCCAUCGCGUCAAAUAUCCAGCACCAUGCAGACUUCACACCGUUGUUCUCACCAGAGCACUCUUCACCCCUAAAGGCUUACCAUGCAACUGCUAAAAGUGUUUUUGAUUCUCUGAUCAUCAAUUGGAAUGCAACAUAUGACUAUUACAACAAAGUGAAUGCAAAGCAAGCUUAUUACCUGUCCAUGGAGUUUUUGCAGGGAAGAGCUCUCACAAAUGCUAUUGGCAAUCUAGAGCUAACAGGACAAUAUGCAGAAGCGUUAAAACAACUUGGACAGAACCUAGAGGAUGUUGCUAGUCAGGAACCAGAUCCUGCCCUUGGCAAUGGUGGUCUAGGCCGUCUAGCGUCCUGUUUUCUGGAUUCUAUGGCAACCCUAAAUUAUCCAGCAUGGGGAUAUGGACUUCGGUACAGAUAUGGCCUCUUUAAGCAAAUCAUAGCAAAGGAUGGUCAGGAGGAGGUAGCUGAGAAUUGGCUAGAGAUGGGAAAUCCAUGGGAGAUCGUAAGAAAUGAUGUCUCUUAUCCUGUGAAAUUCUAUGGCAAAGUGGUUGAAGGCACUGAUGGGAGAAAGCACUGGAUUGGAGGAGAGAAUAUCAAGGCUGUGGCACAUGAUGUUCCUAUUCCUGGCUACAAGACUAAAACUACUAAUAAUCUUCGUCUUUGGUCAACAACAGUACCAUCACAAAAUUUUGAUUUGGGUGCCUUUAAUGCUGGGGAUCAUGCCAAGGCCAAUGAAGCACAUCUAAAUGCUGAAAAGAUAUGCCACGUAUUGUAUCCAGGGGACGAAUCAUCAGAGGGGAAAAUUCUUCGCUUGAAACAACAAUAUACAUUAUGCUCGGCCUCCCUGCAGGACAUUAUUUCUCGUUUUGAGUCGAGGGCUGGUGAUUCUCUCAACUGGGAGGACUUCCCCUCUAAAGUUGCAGUUCAGAUGAAUGACACUCAUCCAACACUGUGCAUUCCGGAGUUAAUGAGAAUACUGAUGGAUAUAAAGGGAUUGAGCUGGAAUGAGGCUUGGAGUAUCACAGAAAGAACCGUUGCAUACACUAACCACACGGUACUUCCUGAAGCUCUGGAGAAGUGGAGCUUGGACAUUAUGCAGAAACUUCUACCCCGACAUGUUGAGAUCAUAGAAACAAUAGAUGAGAAGCUGAUGAACAACAUCGUCUCAAAAUAUGGAACGGCAGAUAUUUCACUGUUAAAACAGAAGCUUAAAGAUAUGAGGAUCUUAGACAACGUUGAUCUUCCAGCCUCUGUUGCUAAACUGUUUAUUAAACCUAAAGAGAAAACGGGGAAGUUGCUUGUUCAAUCUUUGGAGUCUAUUGCUGAAGGUGACGAGAAAACUGAGUCACAAGAGGAGGAAAACAUUCUAUCCGAGACAGCAGAGAAAAAGGGCGGAUCUGACUCUGAAGAAGCUCCUGAUGCAGAAAAGGAGGAUCCUGUGUAUGAGUUAGAUCCAUUUGCAAAAUACGAUCCUCAGUUACCUAGAGUUGUUCGAAUGGCAAAUCUCUGUGUUGUUGGUGGACAUUCAGUUAAUGGUGUGGCUGAGAUUCACAGUGAAAUUGUUAAGCAAGAUGUGUUCAAUAGCUUUUAUGAGAUGUGGCCUACUAAGUUCCAAAACAAAACAAACGGAGUAACUCCCAGGCGUUGGAUCCGGUUUUGUAAUCCUGAAUUAAGUGCAAUCAUUUCAAAAUGGAUAGGCUCUGAUGACUGGAUUCUGAACACUGAUAAACUUGCAGGACUGAAGAAGUUUGCUGAUGAUGAGGAUCUGCAAUCAGAAUGGCGUACUGCUAAAAGGAAUAACAAGAUGAAGGUAGUUUCGCUGAUAAGAGACAAGACUGGAUAUGUUGUCAGCCCAGAUGCGAUGUUUGAUGUGCAGGUGAAAAGAAUACAUGAAUAUAAGCGGCAGCUGCUAAAUAUCCUUGGUAUCGUUUACCGAUACAAGAAGAUGAAAGAAAUGAGUGCCAAAGAUAGAAUAAAGAGCUUUGUUCCAAGGGUAUGCAUAUUUGGUGGGAAAGCUUUUGCCACUUACGUACAGGCAAAGAGGAUUGUGAAGUUUAUCACAGAUGUCGCAGCUACUGUAAAUUAUGACCCUGAUGUUGGAGAUUUACUGAAGGUUGUAUUUGUCCCAGAUUAUAAUGUUAGCGUUGCUGAGAAGCUCAUUCCUGCCAGUGAAUUGUCCCAGCAUAUCAGUACCGCUGGAAUGGAAGCUAGUGGAACCAGCAACAUGAAGUUUGCAAUGAAUGGUUGUAUUCUUAUUGGAACUUUGGAUGGUGCGAAUGUGGAGAUCAGAGAAGAGGUUGGAGAGGAGAACUUUUUCCUCUUUGGUGCACAUGCACCUGAAAUCGCUGGUUUGAGGCAAGAGAGGGCUGAAGGAAAGUUUGUGCCUGACCCGAGAUUUGAAGAGGUUAAGGAAUACGUCCGCAGUGGCGUCUUUGGGACUAGCAACUAUGAUGAAUUGAUGGGUUCUUUGGAAGGAAAUGAAGGUUAUGGACGUGCAGAUUAUUUUCUUGUUGGCAAGGAUUUUCCCAGUUACAUUGAAUGCCAGCAAAAAGUUGAUGAAGCAUACCGAGAUCAGAAGCUAUGGACAAGAAUGUCUAUCCUCAACACAGCGGGUUCCCCCAAGUUCAGCAGUGACCGGACGAUCCAUGAGUACGCCAAGGACAUAUGGGAUAUCAGCCCCGUCAUCAUGCCCUGA